Molecule: ribosomal RNA, 421 nt
Filed under: uncultured archaeon
Lineage: Archaea
Description: partial 16S ribosomal RNA
Rfam family: Archaeal small subunit ribosomal RNA
Source: RNAcentral
CUACGGGAGGCACCAGGCGAGAAAACUUUGCAAUGUGCGAAAGCACGACAAGGUUAAUCCGAGUGGUUUGUGCUAAACGAACCUUUUGACAGUCCUAGAAACACUGUUGAAUAAGGGGUGGGCAAGUUCUGGUGUCAGCCGCCGCGGUAAAACCAGCACCCAAGUGGUCAGGAUGAUUAUUGGGCCUAAAGCAUCCGUAGCCGGCUCUGUAAGUUUUCGGUUAAAUCUGUACGCUCAACGUACAGGCUGCCGGGAAUACUGCAGAGCUAGGGAGUGGGAGGGGUAGACGGUACUCGGUAGGAAGGGGUAAAAUCCUUUGAUCUAUUGAGGACCACCUGUGGCGAAGGCGGUCUACCAGAACACGUCCGACGGUGAGGGAUGAAAGCUGGGGGAGCAAACCGGAUUAGAUACCCUGGUAGUC